UACGGGGGGAGCAAGCGUUGUUCGGAUUUACUGGGCGUAAAGGGCGCGUAGGCGGUCAGCACAAGUCAGUUGUGAAAUCUCCGGGCUUAACUCGGAAAGGUCAACUGAUACUGUGCGACUAGAGUGCGGAAGGGGCAACUGGAAUUCUUGGUGUAGCGGUGAAAUGCGUAGAUAUCAAGAGGAACACCUGCGGCGAAGGCGGGUUGCUGGGCCGACACUGACGCUGAGGCGCGAAAGCCAGGGGAGCGAUCCGG
Molecule: ribosomal RNA, 254 nt
Filed under: uncultured bacterium
Lineage: Bacteria
Description: partial 16S ribosomal RNA
Rfam family: Bacterial small subunit ribosomal RNA
Source: RNAcentral